AUCUGUGGGUGCUUCUUGUCUGCACUGUCAAUAACUGAUUGCUCUCAAUAAAAUCAGUAAAAUUUACCAUGGAUUUUGUCAAAGAAUUUCUUUAUGUGUCUGACCACGCUGGGUUCCUUGAACUGACCACUGAAACAUGGAAGAACAUGUGGUUUCCAUCUCAGAUACCCUUGAGUUCGGAUGUGGCGGGCAUUGCCCAGCUUAAUGAAACAGACAGAGAAUUUUAUAAAUUCUUGUUUGUUUUCUUGGGAUUGGCUGAGAGGCUGGUCAACUUUAACAUCGAGGACCUGGUCAAGGAGUUUAAUUGCCAUGACGCCACUCAUUACUAUGCAGAGCAGAUGGCCAUGGAGAAUAUUCAUGGGAAGGUUUAUGCCAAUAUUCUACAAUUAUUUUUUAAUGGUGACAUGAUGAAGCUGAAGGAGUAUGCAGUAAAGGUGGUGGCUGACCCUACCUUGAAAGCCAAACUUGACUGGCUACAUACCAGGGUCAAGAAUACAAAAACUAGGGCUGAAAAGGUCCUGAUAUUUCUGUUGAUUGAAGGGAUAUUUUUUAUAUCCUCCUUUUACAGCAUCAGUCUCUUCAGAGUGAGGGGGAUGCUUAAUGGGAUCUGUUUGGCCAAUGAUUACAUUUCUAAAGAUGAACUGCUACACACGCGAGCCGCUGCUGUUCUGUACAAUAGUCUAAUACCGGCCAAAGAGCGCCCAGAUGCCGCCUGGAUCAAAAGACUGUUCCAGGAAGCAGUUGAGGUGGAAUAUUCCUUUAUUGCUGCCAAGAGCAAGAACGUGACGCUGGUGGUUCCUGGUGAAAUUAAAAAGUUUUUACAAGCCACCUGUGAUAGAAUUUUGCAGAGUAUUGGGGUGGAGCCAAUCUAUGGCUCCCACGCCCCAGUCACGUGUCCUCUGAGCUACAACGGCUGCAUAAAAAGUGUUAACUUUUUUGAGAGGGAGGGAACUGAUUACUCAACCAAGGUGACUAAUGAUUUGUAAGCAGCGCAGUUUGGAAAGUGAUGUGUGUGCUCUCAUUCCACCCUAUUUAAGAGGGAGACAAACUCUGAGUUGUGCAUCUACUCUUUCUGCUUCUGAGAAGAGCAUUGUUUUAACCCUUUACAAUGCAGACCUUCCAGCUUGACACUGAGCGCCUCUGCCAGGCAGCUAAGCUGUACCAGCACACCAAGUCUGACUUUGGCCUGAAUGGCAUGAUCCAGCUUUCUGGUUCAUGUAAUAAUAUGUCACUAUCUGUACUGGGAUCGAUUGGAGGCUGUGCUAUUCUGAGAUUGGAAUUGUUGGAGGCUGCCCGGCUCCAUUCAUCUAAAGACAGCUCCAAGUCUGCCAUUUACAGCUUUCGUAACGCAAGCUCCCUUGGAAGAGAAUUUACUCAUGGUGGAGAACUCUUUGGCCCCAAAAUGGAAUCUGCCUCCCUGUCUUUUUAUGGCCAUCAUGGAGUGAAAUAUGUGGAGGCACAAUUUGUGCAUGACAGCAGCAGCAAGACUGUACAUACUGCUGCUAUGCAGCCCAUCACCAUACCACCUUCGUGUGCCUUUGAUGAUCGUGAGGCCAAUGGUAUAGUGACAUUGUCAACAAAAACUGCAGCGGCGCUGGUCAAGUGGUUGAAGCAGCAUACAAAAACCUGCCAGUCACCAGUUAAGGUUUCUAUCAGUGAAAUCUUGGGUGUGAUGGUUCUUUCAGUUGGAGAUGCUAGCAUGACUGUUGAUGUCACUCCGGUGAAUGUUUCAUCUGGCAAGAAGACACGGGGUGGGAAUAAGGCUAGUGACUCUGGGACUAUCUCUGCAGACGCAACGGUGCAUGUUAAUGGACAUUGUUUGAUUAGAUCUUUGAUUGUAUGUAAAGUUCCUGGGUGUACAACUCCAAGAGUCAAGUUUCACGCCUGUGGCAUAUUAGAGGUAGAUGGGGCCCCCGUUAAACAGGGCGAGUUGACACAGGUAAAAUUGUCAGUGGCCCUCCUGAACGUGGACUCUUCAACUGGCAGAGUUUUGAAGGAACCUGUGGUGACUGGAGCAAGUAAAGAUCGAGGGGCUUCAAAGUCAGAAGACGCGGACGGUAGCCCUCCAGUACCAGAUCAUCCCAAAGAAUCCCUCACUAGCGACUCUGAUUCCUCAGUUCCUGGGCCACGAAGUACUGACCUUUCCUCUCUUACCCACACCCCUUCAGAUAGAUUUUCGAGCGACCUUAGAUCAGGGUGUGGGGGGCAACAGUUCCUCAAGAGACCACCCCCUAAGAAAGACAGGGAACCCACCACUAAGCGCCCCAAGCUACAUUUUAACCACUUCCCAUAAAUGAAGAGUCAUUGGUCAGACGUGUUCCUCCCACUCAUUGUGGGAGGAAUGUCUGCUGUUCCCUUUAUCUGGUGUUUAAUUUUUAGAACCCUUUACCUACCAAUAGAAUGUGACUGGAGAUGCUGGAUUUUUGUAUAUGGAUCAAUGAUUUGGCACAUAACCAUGUUUAUGUCACUAUUGUUUAAACAUAAACAUGGGAUGAUUGGCUGGUUUAAGUUGUGUAGUGCAGUUGCCAUAUGUCUGAUUAUAGUUUUGGCUCUUUUAGAACAAUACUGCCCAUAUGAGAUGUACAUUGUUCCUGUUAUAUUCAUAAUAAAUAUAGUUUUGCUUUCCACAUGGGUUCCCAUGGCACUUAUUUCAACAUACAUGUGCAACAGAAUAUAUGCACGCCUCUUGGAACUGGGAUUUUUGGCUGCCAUAAUAGGUUAUUAUGUGAUGUUGCAAAUUGGGGCACAAGAGUCUCCUGCCUUCUGGAUUCCCAUACCAGUGUUGCAUAUUGGGGGAGUGUAUGCUCUUCUCCACUUUAGAACAAGGCCCUGCUUUUUGCACUCUGUUGAAAAAAGACAUAGUAUCUACUACUUUGGAAAUAAUAAGUAUACCGUCUACCCCUGCGAGACCAUUGUGAGGAUGUGCAGCCCUGAAAUUUCCCUGAUGAUUAUUUUGAUUAUGAUGCUGGCCAUUGGCUUCCCCAUCCUGGCAUAUUAUGUGAAAAUUGUUCAAGGUAUGCAAUACUUCUACAUGUUCCUGAUGCUGGGACCAAUGGUAGGGGGCCUAAUUUUUGACAGCAAGAUUGUGGGCACCUUCUUCAUGAUGUUGGCAUUGGUGACUAUGAUUUUUGCUGGAAUUGCACCUGUCUGGUUUCCUCUCAUGGCAGAAAGGACCUUUGUUAUAUCCCUGAUAUUAGCCAACUUUUCUGCUGGCUGCUUUCUGGAAUGUAUGCGUGUCAAGUUAAGGAGAGCCAUAAAUGGUGUCUAUUUUGUUUAUCUAGUAACUGUUUUAUACAAUCUGUUAGUGGCCCUUAUCAUGAUUGCUGUAAGCAUGUAAUUAAUAAAAGACAAAACAGAUAUGC
RNAcentral lists this non-coding RNA (3362 nucleotides) under synthetic construct. The record is from RNAcentral.